Molecule: ribosomal RNA, 253 nt
Filed under: uncultured bacterium
Lineage: Bacteria
Description: partial 16S ribosomal RNA
Rfam family: Bacterial small subunit ribosomal RNA
Source: RNAcentral
UACGAAGGGUGCAAACGUUGCUCGGAAUUAUUGGGCGUAAAGCGCACGUAGGCGGCUUAGCAAGUCGGAAGUGAAAUCCCUCGGCUCAACCAAGGAAGUGCUUUCGAAACUGCUGAGCUUGAGUACGAAAGAGGAUCGCGGAAUUCCCGGUGUAGAGGUGAAAUUCGUAGAUAUUGGGAAGAACACCGAUGGCGAAGGCAGCCAUCUGGACCGACACUGACGCUGAGGCGCGAAAGCGUGGGGAGCAAACAGG